RNAcentral lists this small RNA (78 nucleotides) under Flavobacterium sp. 9. Its description in RNAcentral is "Flavo-1 RNA". It matches the Rfam family "Flavo-1 RNA". Lineage: Bacteria; Pseudomonadati; Bacteroidota; Flavobacteriia; Flavobacteriales; Flavobacteriaceae. The record is from RNAcentral.
UUCUAGCCCAGAUAGAAGCGGCAUCCUUUUGUUUUUUUCUUUAAAAAACAAAAGAUAUAGCGAAUAGCUGGAAAUAGC